Long non-coding RNA from Ochotona princeps (American pika), 171 nucleotides. RefSeq lists it as uncharacterized. The record is from RefSeq and is a predicted model, not a curated record. Lineage: Eukaryota; Metazoa; Chordata; Mammalia; Lagomorpha; Ochotonidae. The transcript has 2 exons.
UUGUGGAAAAUGUGAGGCUGCCUAAGCUGAAGAAAUGGAAACUGUGGUGAGCUUAAAAAGGAGAAGGCUGUAUUGAGAGAAGAGAAAAGGUCCUGCAAGGUCUUCCAUGGUAAGAACAGUAAUUUCCUGCUCAGGCUUUGCCAAGAAGUAAUGCAGGUUCUUGGAUGGAGA